GAUCAUGGCUCAGGAUGAACGCUAGCUACAGGCUAACACAUGCAAGUCGAGGGGCAGCAUUGGGGUAGCAAUACUCAGAUGGCGACCGGCGCACGGGUGAGUAACACGUAUCCAACCUGCCGCUUACUCGGGGAUAGCCUUUCGAAAGAAAGAUUAAUACCCGAUGGUAUAAAGAGUUCGCAUGUUCUCUUUAUUAAAGAAUUUCGGUAAGCGAUGGGGAUGCGUUCCAUUAGAUAGUUGGCGGGGUAACGGCCCACCAAGUCUACGAUGGAUAGGGGUUCUGAGAGGAAGGUCCCCCACAUUGGAACUGAGACACGGUCCAAACUCCUACGGGAGGCAGCAGUGAGGAAUAUUGGUCAAUGGACGAGAGUCUGAACCAGCCAAGUAGCGUGAAGGAUGACUGCCCUAUGGGUUGUAAACUUCUUUUAUAAGGGAAUAAAGUGAGGGACGUGUCCCUUUUUGUAUGUACCUUAUGAAUAAGGAUCGGCUAACUCCGUGCCAGCAGCUGC
RNAcentral lists this ribosomal RNA (509 nucleotides) under uncultured bacterium. RNAcentral's name for it is "bacterial SSU rRNA". It matches the Rfam family "Bacterial small subunit ribosomal RNA", at positions 15 to 518 of the family's 1533-position model. The record is from RNAcentral.